This 460-nucleotide ribosomal RNA is filed under the name uncultured bacterium. RNAcentral's name for it is "partial 16S ribosomal RNA". It matches the Rfam family "Bacterial small subunit ribosomal RNA", at positions 338 to 795 of the family's 1533-position model. The record is from RNAcentral.
CCUACGGGAGGCAGCAGUGAGGAAUAUUGGUCAAUGGACGUGAGUCUGAACCAGCCAAGUAGCGUGAAGGAUGACUGCCCUAUGGGUUGUAAACUUCUUUUAUAUGGGAAUAAAAUGUUCCACGUGUGGGUUUUUGUAUGUACCAUAUGAAUAAGGAUCGGCUAAGUCCGUGCCAGCAGCCGCGGUAAUACGGAGGAUCCGAGCGUUAUCCGGAUUUAUUGGGUUUAAAGGGAGCGUAGGUGGGUGGUUAAGUCUGUUGUGAAAGUUUGCGGCUCAACCGUAAAAGUGCAGUUGAAACUGGCAGUCUUGAGUACAGUAGAGGUGGGCGGAAUUCGUGGUGUAGCGGUGAAAUGCUUAGAUAUCACGAAGAACUCCGAUUGCGAAGGCAGCUCGCUGGACUGCAACUGACACUGAGGCUCGAAAGUGUGGGUAUCAAACAGGAUUAGAUAUCCCAGUAGUC